RNAcentral lists this ribosomal RNA (253 nucleotides) under uncultured bacterium. RNAcentral describes it as "partial 16S ribosomal RNA". It matches the Rfam family "Bacterial small subunit ribosomal RNA", at positions 524 to 776 of the family's 1533-position model. The record is from RNAcentral.
UACGGAGGGUGCGAGCGUUGUCCGGAAUCACUGGGCGUAAAGGGCGCGUAGGUGGCCCGUUAAGUGGCUGGUGAAAUCCCGCGGCUCAACUGCGGGGCUGCCGGUCAUACUGGCGAGCUAGAGCACGGUAGGGGCAGAUGGAAUUCCCGGUGUAGCGGUGGAAUGCGUAGAUAUCGGGAGGAACACCAGUGGCGAAGGCGGCUCUCUGGACCUCUGCUGACGCUGAGGCGCGAAAACGUGGGGAGCGAUCCGG